This 327-nucleotide long non-coding RNA is filed under the name Phasianus colchicus (ring-necked pheasant). RNAcentral describes it as "lncRNA (ENSPCLG00000002531.1)". The record is from RNAcentral. Lineage: Eukaryota; Metazoa; Chordata; Aves; Galliformes; Phasianidae.
CUGAUACUCAAUUUCCAUUGCAUUAGAAAUUGAUUUUGAAAAAUAACAUUGCUGAUAGCAUGUGGUACAAAUAAACUGCUUAAGAUUGGAUUCAUAUGCAAUAUAUAUCCAAGAUUAUAUUUAGUAACUAAGAAACAAACGUUAUAGAUCAGCACAUGUAGCUUAAGAAUAGUAACUGCUUUCAUUUAACUUUAUGGAUUAUAUAGUGAUAAGUGAAAGAGUGGAUGGCCUUAAACAGCAAUGAGUCAGAGCUGGGGAGUGCUUCUCAAACAGUUUGGGGUGAGACUUGGUCCUCCUCUGUGUUCUCCAGAGAAAGCUGUGGAUCCA